Molecule: ribosomal RNA, 406 nt
Filed under: uncultured Desulfobacterium sp.
Lineage: Bacteria; Pseudomonadati; Thermodesulfobacteriota; Desulfobacteria; Desulfobacterales; Desulfobacteriaceae
Description: bacterial SSU rRNA
Rfam family: Bacterial small subunit ribosomal RNA
Source: RNAcentral
GGGUUUGACAUCUCGGGAAUCUUGUGGAAACACGAGAGUGCCUUCGGGGAGCCCGAAGACAGGUGCUGCACGGCUGUCGUCAGCUCGUGUCGUGAGAUGUUGGGUUAAGUCCCGCAACGAGCGCAACCCCUAUCUCUAGUUGCCAGCGAUUCGGUCGGGGACUCUAGAGAUACUGCCCCGGUUAACGGGAGGAAGGUGGGGAUGACGUCAAGUCCUCAUGGCCCUUAUGCCCAGGGCUACACACGUGCUACAAUGGGCGGUACAAAGGGUAGCGAUGCCGCGAGGUGAAGCCAAUCCCAAAAAGCCGUCCACAGAUCGGAUUGGAGUCUGCAACUCGACUCCAUGAAGCCGGAAUCGCUAGUAAUCGUGGAUCAGCAUGCCACGGUCGAAUACGUUCCCGGGCCUU